CUGACAUCAAUACACAGGUGACUUGCAACUGCUUGCUUGUGGUCCUCUGUAGCUAAGAGAAUAUGAUUAACUAACUAACUAAAAUAAAUAAUCUUCCUUAUAGACUUGGUUGAAGUGACUGUAUAAGGUAUCAAGGGUAUUCAGUUCUUAUUAUUCUGUUUCAUAGCAACAAAAACAUUGCAGAUGCAGAAGUUCUGAAGGUUCUGAAAGGCAUCAAAUUUCCUCAGCUCUCAAGUCUGCAUUAGGAGCAUGUUACUACAUGUUUAUAUUCUGGAAAUUGUUUUGGCUUUCUCUGAUGAGAAGUUGACAGAAUAUUACCAAAAUGCCUGAAUGUCAUCUGAUUUUCAAUGAAGUGUUUGCAACUUUCUGACAGAAAGAAGGAGAGAGAUGGAGUCUCAAGAGAAACAAUAACUCCAAUUGCUGUGAUAAAAGAUCCAAACAGUAGUCUUUUGCUCAAAUGAAACAAAAUUGUACUGACUUUGGUACGAAUUAGCUGAUGAAUCUAGACAUUUAUCCUAAAAUGCCUCUACUUUAUUUGUCUGCGUAAUCCAUUAUCUUUAUAAAGACUCUGCUUUUCAGUUCAAAAACACCUUUAAAUUGGAGAUUACACUAAAAUAUGC
This 620-nucleotide long non-coding RNA is filed under the name Coturnix japonica (Japanese quail). Its description in RNAcentral is "lncRNA (ENSCJPG00005013432.1)". The record is from RNAcentral. Lineage: Eukaryota; Metazoa; Chordata; Aves; Galliformes; Phasianidae.